This 462-nucleotide ribosomal RNA is filed under the name uncultured bacterium. RNAcentral describes it as "partial 16S ribosomal RNA". It matches the Rfam family "Bacterial small subunit ribosomal RNA", at positions 29 to 507 of the family's 1533-position model. The record is from RNAcentral.
AGUGAACGCUGGCGGCGUGCCUAAUACAUGCAAGUCGAACGAACGAAUAAGAGCUUGCUCUUAUAAGUUAGUGGCGCACGGGUGAGUAAUAUAUAGCUAAUCUGCCUCUUAGUAGAGGAUAACAGUCGGAAACGAUUGCUAAUACUCUAUACUUCUGCUUUACAUAAGUAAAGUAGAGAAAGUUUUUCGCUAAGAGAUGAGGCUAUACUGUAUCAGCUAGUUGGUAAGGUAACGGCUUACCAAGGCUGUGACGCAUAACUGGUCUGAGAGGAUGAUCAGUCACAUUGGAACUGAGACACGGUCCAAACUCCUACGGGAGGCAGCAGUAGGGAAUAUUGCGCAAUGGGGGAAACCCUGACGCAGCAACGCCGCGUGGAGGAUGACACUUUUCGGAGCGUAAACUCCUUUUAUCGGGAAAGAAUAAUGACGGUACCCGAUGAAUAAGCACCGGCUAACUCCGUG